AAAAAAUUAACAUAUAACCACUUCAAAAAAGAGGCAAAGAAAGUCUCAACUUACCUUAAGAGGAGACGCAAAAAUCAAAUUGAAGUUUUUCCCUUUUGAAUUACCUCCGAAUGAGACUAAUCCAUCCAAAUACAGAUUCUACAUAAGAAUACAAAAUCAUAGACACUCAUAUUGCUAUACUUAAAUUUUGGGUUCAAAAAGUCAACCCUGAC
Molecule: long non-coding RNA, 212 nt
Filed under: Capsicum annuum
Lineage: Eukaryota; Viridiplantae; Streptophyta; Magnoliopsida; Solanales; Solanaceae
Description: long non-coding RNA (CANN_LNC014219)
Source: RNAcentral